GUAGGUGGCAAGCGUUGUCCGGAAUUAUUGGGCGUAAAGCGCGCGCAGGUGGUUCUUUAAGUCUGAUGUGAAAGCCCCCGGGCUCAACCGGGGAGGGUCAUUGGAAACUGGGGAACUUGAGUGCAGGAGAGGAAAGUGGAAUUCCACGUGUAGCGGUGAAAUGCGUAGAUAUGUGGAGGAACACCAGUGGCGAAGGCGACUUUCUGGCCUGUAACUGACACUGAGGCGCGAAAGCGUGGGGAGCAAACAGGAUUAGAUACCCUGGUAGUCCACGCCGUAAACGAUGAGUGCUACGUGUUGGGGGGUUUCCGCCCCUCAGUGCUGCAGCUAACGCAUUAAGCACUCCGCCUGGGGAGUACGGUCGCAAAGACUG
RNAcentral lists this ribosomal RNA (373 nucleotides) under uncultured organism. Its description in RNAcentral is "partial 16S ribosomal RNA". It matches the Rfam family "Bacterial small subunit ribosomal RNA", at positions 527 to 896 of the family's 1533-position model. The record is from RNAcentral.